UGGAGACCAAUUUUCACUUUGCUGAUAAAAAUUUGUGCAAUAAAUAAAUAAACAACUAUAACUUUGUCUAUCGGACUUACGGCGUUGAUCCUGAGGCUAAUUGAAUUGUCCUCUUGCAACAAGAGUCGAUCCCUCAUUGACUGGUCUUUGAGGAUAGAGAUCUUUCAGCAUCACUAUCACUUUCUUUCGACUUUUUCCCCGCGGACCUCAGAACAUGCUUCACGGAUGGAGGGAAGUGGUUUGGUUGAGAGAAUCCUCUCCUGACUUCGUCCAAGUUCUUGUUGAGGCCGACAAGAAAUGUGAAGAUCCGCUCCUUCUCAAUAAUCUUCAGGUACUUAAGGGCAUUAGUCAGGCAGUCCCACUCAAGACCCUAAAAAAUAUCCAGCUGCUACCAAUCUUAAGUAAGGAUACUGAAAUAUUGGGUGAUGUUGAGGUCGCCUGAGCCUAGAUCUCAAAUUUGACUCUAAAUCUCAAAUGUUUCAGCUGCAUUUUCAUCGUCUGAGAAAGUUUCUUUGGUAACAUCCCAAAUCUCCUUUGUUGUUUUAUAGAACAGAAAGGUUUGCCCAACAUCUGCUUCCAUUGAGUUUAUCAACCACUACAUGACCAUAUUAUUGAUGAACAAAAGAGAAG
This 630-nucleotide long non-coding RNA is filed under the name Olea europaea subsp. europaea. Lineage: Eukaryota; Viridiplantae; Streptophyta; Magnoliopsida; Lamiales; Oleaceae. The record is from RNAcentral.